Mercenaria mercenaria is the source of this 1185-nucleotide long non-coding RNA. RefSeq lists it as uncharacterized. NCBI's taxonomy places the organism in Eukaryota, Metazoa, Mollusca, Bivalvia, Venerida, Veneridae. The record is from RefSeq and is a predicted model, not a curated record. The transcript is spliced from 2 exons.
UGAUACCACAAACAAUGUACCACAUUGCCUUUCUAUAGAUUCAAAACAAAUCUAUUAAAUAAUGAAUUAAAUCAAUUUAUUCAUCAACACAUACAUAUGGCUAGCUUACACAUUACAGAGCGCUAGAUUUAUAUCUCGUAAAAAAGGCUUCCUCUCGAAACGGAACGGUGAUAUUUUUUCAAGGAAUUAAUAGCAGAAAAGACAAAAAUGAAGGGAGUUUCCCAAAUUCUACUCGCCAUUUCUAUCUGCUCUAUGGAGUGUCACAUUGUCGUUGAAAAUAGUCAACCUUUAAAUAUAAAUGCGGAAACCACUGAUGACGUCUCUAUUGAAGACACGCCUACAAGUGUCAUCAAUGGAAAUACGGAUUCGGAUAACGGACUUUGUCGAAGAUGCAUGUGCAGACUGAAUGGCUGUCCGGAUGUGAUUCGUGCAAGGUGCUUGUCAGCUGGUCCCUUGUGUUGCUGUUGCCUUCCCGGGAACCACCCUUGUCUUGAUAUGGAAGAGUUUGCAGACAAAGUUGCUGACGAUACAGGUGAUACUUUAGAAGCGCUGGAGGAAGGUCUGGAAGACAUAGAUGAAUUAGAGAAAUGAUGAAACAAUGGGAAAUGUAAGGAAAACAAAAUACGAGUUUGAAUUAUUAGACCUAUAUAACUUUAUUGACGCUUAUGCAACGGUACUAAUGAACAUGUUUGAGGAACUGGUCAUUAUUAUACCAGAUUUAUAUAGCGCCCUUUUCAUGAUCAAUUUCACGUCAUAGUAGUGUUAUAAAACCAAUAUGUUUUCACGUGGAUUAAUUCGCUAAAAAGUCUUAUUAUCGAUGAAUCGUGACUGAAAUCCUUUAUAAUAGUCAGUUUGAUCGAAAAUAUAUCUCCUUUUUUGUAUUAUACACAAUGAAAAUUACUGGCGUUUUCAUGUUUUUUUUUACAUAAUGUAAACCGCCAAUGCCUGAAAAAAAAUUUGAAAAUGUCUUCUUUAUAAAUUCAUUGGAUAUUUAUAUUAAUAGAUUAGUAAAUACGAAUGACAUUCUAUGUAAAAAAUAGUUAUUAAAACACUAGAUUCAGCAUAUCCUUUGCGACAUGUUUCCUCACCGCCAGGAUGUAUUUAUUUAAAAAUGAUUCGACGACAUCAUGAUAAAUAAAAAUUAUAUUUCUAACAAAAUGAAUAGAUAAAAGUCUCCGUAUGGUA